This 391-nucleotide ribosomal RNA is filed under the name Fingulus sp. 013SNU-030. RNAcentral describes it as "partial large subunit ribosomal RNA". It matches the Rfam family "Eukaryotic large subunit ribosomal RNA", at positions 763 to 1138 of the family's 3401-position model. Lineage: Eukaryota; Metazoa; Arthropoda; Insecta; Hemiptera; Miridae. The record is from RNAcentral.
GGGCGUCUCUAUCUCAUUGCGAGAGGAGGCGCACCUAGAGCGUACACGCUGAUACCCGAAAGAUGGUGAACUAUGCCUGGCCAGGACGAAGCCAGGGGAAACCCUGGUGGAGGUCCGCAGCGAUUCUGACGUGCAAAUCGAUCGUCGGAGCUGGGUUUAGGGGCGAAAGACCAAUCGAACCAUCUAGUAGCUGGUUCCCUCUGAAGUUUCCCUCAGGAUAGCUUGCGCUCGGAUGAAACGAGUCUCAUCCGGUAGAGCGAAUGAUUAGAGGCCUUGGGGUCGAAACGACCUCAACCUAUUCUCAAACUCCAAAUAGAUGAGAACCCCGGCUUGCUUGAAACUUGUUUCUGAAGCCGGGGGCUCGGAUCAGAGUGCCAAGUGGGCCAAUUUU